Molecule: unclassified non-coding RNA, 253 nt
Filed under: uncultured Flavobacteriaceae bacterium
Lineage: Bacteria; Pseudomonadati; Bacteroidota; Flavobacteriia; Flavobacteriales; Flavobacteriaceae
Description: contains 16S-23S intergenic spacer region
Rfam family: Bacterial small subunit ribosomal RNA
Source: RNAcentral
UACGGAGGUUCCAAGCGUUAUCCGUGAUCAUUGGGUUUAAAGGGUCCGUAGGCGGGAUAAUAAGUCAGUGGUGAAGGUCUGCAGCUUAACUGUAGAACUGCCAUUGAUACUGUUGUCCUUGAGUAAUUAUGAAGUGGUUAGAAUAUGUAGUGUAGCGGUGAAAUGCAUAGAUAUUACAUAGAAGACCGAUUGCGAAGGCAGAUCACUAAUAAUUUACUGACGCUGAUGGACGAAAGCGUAGGUAGCGAACAGG